AACGAACGCUGGCGGCAUGCCUAACACAUGCAAGUCGAACGAUGCCUUCGGGCAUAGUGGCGCACGGGUGCGUAACGCGUGGGAAUCUGCCUUUCGGUUCGGAAUAACUCAGGGAAACUUGAGCUAAUACCGGAUAACGUCGCAAGACCAAAGAUUUAUCACCGAAAGAUGAGCCCGCGUAGGAUUAGCUAGUUGGUGAGGUAAAGGCUCACCAAGGCGACGAUCCUUAGCUGGUCUGAGAGGAUGAUCAGCCACACUGGGACUGAGACACGGCCCAGACUCCUACGGGAGGCAGCAGUGGGGAAUAUUGGACAAUGGGCGAAAGCCUGAUCCAGCAAUGCCGCGUGAGUGAUGAAGGCCUUAGGGUUGUAAAGCUCUUUUACCCGGGAAGAUAAUGACGGGACCGGGAGAAUAAGCCCCGGCUAACUCCGU
This 432-nucleotide ribosomal RNA is filed under the name uncultured bacterium. RNAcentral describes it as "partial 16S ribosomal RNA". It matches the Rfam family "Bacterial small subunit ribosomal RNA", at positions 29 to 506 of the family's 1533-position model. The record is from RNAcentral.